AAUCAACAUAACCAAAGGACGUGGAUAAACUCGGGAAACUGAGGCUAAACCGCGAUAGAUCAAGAUACCUGGAAUGGUUUUUGAUCAAAAUCUAUAUGGCCUUUGGAUUGGACUGCGUCCGAUCAGGCUGUUGGUGAGGUAAUGGCCCACCAAACCUAUAACCGGUACGGGCUCUGAGAGGAGGAGCCCGGAGAUGGGUACUGAGAUAAGGGCCCAGGCCCUAUGGGGCGCAGCAGGCGCGAAACCUCUGCAAUAGGCGAAAGCUUGACAGGGUUACUCUGAGUGACUUUCGUUAAGAAAGUCUUUUGACACCUCUAAAAAUGGUGUAGAAUAAGGGGUGGGCAAGUCUGGUGUCAGCCGCCGCGGUAAUACCAGCACCCCGAGUGGUCGGGACGAUUAUUGGGCCUAAAGCAUCCGUAGCCGGCCUUACAAGUCCUCCGUUAAAUCCAGCUGCUUAACAGAUGGGCUGCGGAGGAUACUAUAAGACUAGGAGGCAGGAGAGGCAAGCGGUACUCAGUGGGUAGGGGUAAAAUCCGCUGAUCCAUUAAAGACCACCAGUGGCGAAGGCGGCUUGCCAGAAUGCGCUCGACGGUGAGGGAUGAAAGCUGGGGGAGCAAACCGGAUUAGAUACCCGGGUAGUCCCAGCCGUAAACGAUGCAGACUCGGUGAUGGACUAGCUUUAUGCUGGUCCAGUGCCGCAGGGAAGCCGUUAAGUCUGCCGCCUGGGUAGUACGGUCGCAAGACUGAAGCUUAA
Molecule: ribosomal RNA, 754 nt
Filed under: uncultured archaeon
Lineage: Archaea
Description: bacterial SSU rRNA
Rfam family: Archaeal small subunit ribosomal RNA
Source: RNAcentral